Molecule: long non-coding RNA, 2036 nt
Organism: Passer domesticus (house sparrow)
Lineage: Eukaryota; Metazoa; Chordata; Aves; Passeriformes; Passeridae
Exons: 3
Source: RefSeq, a predicted model, not a curated record
ACUAAGAGGAAACAGCCACAAAUUAAAUCUGCCUUUCCAGAGGAAGAAGACUAGACUUUCAUGACAACUGCUUGCAGUCAUCAUAAGAAAACCUAAAAAAUAAUGUACCAGCUGGGUGUUCAUCUAUAAUAUAAGGACUGAUAUUAUUUUCAUCCUUGCAUGUACCUCUGCUGUGAGUUUCUUCCUGCUGAAAUAGAUCCUCUCAAACUUGGAAUCUUAAGGGAUAAAUUUGCUGAUAUUUGCGGAAGUCAUGAGGCUGAAACUGGUGCUGGGUUGGCUCCAUGCUGCCAAGCCACUGCAUUCCCCACCCAGCAGCCAGAAGAGCUCCAACCCUGCAUCCCAGGGAAGAUUACUGCCCUCUCCAUUCCAUUGGGAGUAUAAUACUGUUUGGUCUGCAUCCCAGUCUCAGACUUGUUUUUGUGGAUCUGAUUCUCUGAACUCUGAAGGACCAUAUCCAGAUAUCUGAAAUUCCACCUAAAGCCAUAUUUUCUCAUAGCAGUGUUAAGCUCUCAGAGGCCUCUUGUUGGCAAGAUACUGCGAGCUCAGGUCAAGACUGGAAUUGAGGUCCCUGAGUGAGGCUCUGAUGGCUCUCUGUAUGAGGUUCUUACUACCUUAAGAGAAGGGAGGGGAGCCUAGAAGUUAAGGCACUACAUCACCCCUGUCAAUAUGUUACCUUCUUUUUUGCCAGAUGUUUAAUAAAAUAGUCUGUGGAAUGAUAUCCUCAUAGAUCAGUUUUAAAAUUAAAUGAAAAUCUCGUGUUCUAAAGAAGAAAAAUGCUGAUCUAUUAACUACUACUGCAGAAAUAAGAACCACACAAUGUUAUAGCUAGGGCAUAUAUAUAUGAGACUCUGUAUCAGAAGAAUUCUAGAUUCAGCAAAAAAAACCCCAAAAAUAGAUAUUGCUGGAAACACUCUGAGCAUUCCCAAAGAAAAAUGCUUUCAAAACUAUACUUUAUCUAAAUCCUGUCAGUCAGAGAAGAAUAAUUUUCAAGGUAGGGUAAAAUUACUGAUCUGCACAAGCUGUUUCUGAUUCCUUUUUUUCCCCAGAGAAGCACAGGUAAAUACACAAUUACAGGUACUCUUCCAUGCUGAAAGUUCAGUGUUAGAUUGUUGGUGGAGAAAGUGGGGUAAAAACCAAACAGACUUUAGCAAAACUCACAUGGUGAAACUAGAGUCAACUGAAAUACUUCCAGUCUCUGCAGACAUUUUCCUUCUGGAGCACUAUUGUUACAAGCAGUAUAUUUUAAUUUACCAAAAGGCAGAUUGUUUGCCUUUCCCUUUUAAAAAUAUGCUCAGAUUUUGUCUCUUCCAUUUGCAAUUCCUAGUUGCAUAUUUUGCUGUGUUCUUUUUUAGCUGCUACUUUAUUGCUAAGCCUAAAAGACUAAAAAUUAUCAACCACAAGAUAAAAUUGUGUUAGUAUCAAUCAGGUCACCCUGUCUAUUUAAAACAGACCAAAUGUGCUGUAAGGGACAUCUCUGCCACUCUGAUAGUCAGAAGCUUCUGUAAACAAAAUUAUUUUUGCUAUAAGUAUCAAAACAUUAAUUCAGGAAAGCUGGAACUGAAUAAGUGGAGUUAACCUGUAUUUGCCCUCCUCUUUACACAUACAUAUAUUUACAGAAAGUUUCUGUCUCUUCUGGUUGUGAAGAUAACCUUUCAAGUAUAAACUGAGAGGAAUGCUGGCUUGAGUCUGGAGCCAAACACAUGGAAACAAUAACACUAGACAUAAGCUGCCUUCAUUCAUCUCAGUGGGAUUCUAGCAAUGAAGUCUCCUUGUGACAAUGUAAAAGCCAGACCUGUUAACUCUUUCGGUGCUAGAUUUUGGUAGUGGAAAGUUUAAUGUAGCUGAUGCAUCCAUCACAGCCUAAUUGUAUUUUCCUUUGAAAGGAUAUGCAAUGUAAUAUGACAUUUGGAAUAUGUACAUAGCCCAUCUUUAUUUUUGUCUUGUCCAAACUGUAUUUUGACUGUUUUUAUAGCUGAUGUUCUGCAUAUCAGAUUCUGCUCUGUACUAAAUGGUAAAUAAAAUCCUUUCUUGAAUAA